UUCCGAUGAGGUAGACAUCCCCAAUAAGUAUAGGAAGUGCCGUAUGACACUUUAAACCGCACCGGAUCA
Non-coding RNA from Helianthus annuus (common sunflower), 69 nucleotides. The record is from Rfam. NCBI's taxonomy places the organism in Eukaryota, Viridiplantae, Streptophyta, Magnoliopsida, Asterales, Asteraceae.